CCUACGGGAGGCAGCAGUCGAGAAUCAUUCACAAUGGGGGAAACCCUGAAGCAGCAACGCCGCGUGGGUGAAGAAGGGUUUCGGCUCGUAAAGCUCUGUUGGUAGUGAAGAAGGAAAGAGGUAUUAACUGUCUUUUAUUUGACGGUAAUUCCUUAGAAAGCAACGGCUAACUACGUGCCAGCAGCCGCGGUAAUACGUAGGUGGCAAGCGUUGUCCGGAUUUAUUGGGCGUAAAGCGAGUGCAGGCGGUUCAAUAAGUCUGAUGUGAAAGCCUUCGGCUCAACCGGAGAAUUGCAUCAGAAACUGUUGAACUUGAGUGCAGAAGAGGAGAGUGGAACUCCAUGUGUAGCGGUGGAAUGCGUAGAUAUAUGGAAGAACACCAGUGGCGAAGGCGGCUCUCUGGUCGGCAACUGACGCUGAGGCUCGAAAGCAUGGGUAGCGAACAGGAUUAGAUACCCUAGUAGUC
RNAcentral lists this ribosomal RNA (465 nucleotides) under uncultured bacterium. RNAcentral's name for it is "partial 16S ribosomal RNA". It matches the Rfam family "Bacterial small subunit ribosomal RNA", at positions 338 to 795 of the family's 1533-position model. The record is from RNAcentral.